RNAcentral lists this ribosomal RNA (466 nucleotides) under uncultured bacterium. RNAcentral describes it as "partial 16S ribosomal RNA". It matches the Rfam family "Bacterial small subunit ribosomal RNA", at positions 28 to 507 of the family's 1533-position model. The record is from RNAcentral.
GACGAACGCUGGCGGCGCGCCUAACACAUGCAAGUCGAACGAGCGAGAGGGAGCUUGCUUUCUCAAGCGAGUGGCGAACGGGUGAGUAACGCGUGAGGAACCUGCCUCAAAGAGGGGGACAACAGUUGGAAACGACUGCUAAUACCGCAUAAGCCCACAGGUCGGCAUCGACCAGAGGGAAAAGGAGCAAUCCGCUUUGAGAUGGCCUCGCGUCCGAUUAGCUAGUUGGUGAGGUAACGGCCCACCAAGGCAACGAUCGGUAGCCGGACUGAGAGGUUGAACGGCCACAUUGGGACUGAGACACGGCCCAGACUCCUACGGGAGGCAGCAGUGGGGAAUAUUGCACAAUGGGGGAAACCCUGAUGCAGCGACGCCGCGUGGAGGAAGAAGGUCUUCGGAUUGUAAACUCCUGUUGUUGAGGAAGAUAAUGACGGUACUCAACAAGGAAGUGACGGCUAACUACGUG